AUGGCCGCCGACGGCGAGCACGGGCAUCCCACGCUGCACACGCACAACGUGGACGAGGUGAGCCCGACCCUGCCGCUGGAAACGCGGUGGCCACCGUCCGCGCACCGCCGGUACCGCGGCUUCUGGGUGCCCGAGCUGUUCCUGCCGGCGUUGGCGGCCUUCAACGACCACUUCGAGCCGGCGCCAGGCGACGUGCUCCUGGUCACCUGCCCCAAGUCCGGCACCACGUGGCUGAAGGCCCUCGCCUUCGCCAUCGCGCACCGCGCCGCGCACCCGCCGUCGUCCGCCGACCACCCGCUCCUGGUCCGCAACCCGCACGGCUGCGUCGGGUUCCUGGAAGGCGUCUUCUUCGGCCACUCUGUCGAGGAGGCGCGCGACGUCCUGGCCGCCGCGUGCCCGUCCCCGCCGCGCGUGCUCUCCACCCACUGGGCCUACUCUCAGCUGCCGGAGCGCGUCACGGGCGGCUGCCGGAUCGUGUACCUCUGCCGGGACCCCAAGGACGUGCUGGUGUCGUGGUACUGGUUCCUCAAGAAGGUGGUUGCCCACGGCGCCACCGGCGACCACCCCGACCUCGACUUCGCCGAGCUCUACGAGGUGUUCUGCGAGGGCCGCAACGGAUACGGCCCCGUGUGGCGGCAGGCGGCCGAGUACUGGGAGGCGAGCAGGGAUCGGCCGGACAAGGUGCUCUUCCUCAGGUACGAGGAGAUGUUGCGCGACCCGUCGGGCAACGUCCGGAGGCUGGCGCGGUUCAUGGGGUGGCCGUUCACGGCGGAGGAGGAGGACGCCGGCGUGGUGGGCGCCAUCCUGGAGCUGUGCAGCCUGGAGAAGCUGCGGAACCUGGAGGUGAACAGGAACGGCGCGCCGGCGAUUCCCGUCGUCUCCAACGACGCCUUCUUCAGGAAGGGCGUGGUAGGCGACUGGCGCAACCACAUGACGCCGGCCAUGGCGGCGAGGCUGGAUGGCAUCGUCGACGACGCCCUGCGAGGCACGGGCUUCUCCUUUACUGACUCUGGCCACGCGGAAGAAGGCGUUGCGCCGUAG
This 1041-nucleotide ribosomal RNA is filed under the name Triticum aestivum (bread wheat). RNAcentral describes it as "partial small subunit ribosomal RNA". Lineage: Eukaryota; Viridiplantae; Streptophyta; Magnoliopsida; Poales; Poaceae. The record is from RNAcentral.